GUAAUUUGUCUUCAUUGCUUUUCUUGCCCUAAGUGGAUAUCUGCUUUUCCUCUUCACCAUCUCCAUAUCACCCCCGCCCCCAAAAAAGACUUGGUGAAUGGAUGAAAGAAAAGGAAGAGUGAAAAUAGGAAUCUCAAUUAGAAGAACAAUUCACAGUUCACAGGUGUUCGUACUUUUUUCUUUUCACAGGUGAGCUACAGACAAUGAACAGCA
RNAcentral lists this long non-coding RNA (213 nucleotides) under Ictidomys tridecemlineatus (thirteen-lined ground squirrel). RNAcentral describes it as "lncRNA (ENSSTOG00000032223.1)". The record is from RNAcentral. Lineage: Eukaryota; Metazoa; Chordata; Mammalia; Rodentia; Sciuridae.